GUGUCUUGCUAUAUCAAUACACAAGUGCAGAGAAGCAUCCAGCAUGGCUGAUGAGUCUGACUUUAACCUCAAAAUUAGCAUAGAAGAUCCCCUGCCCGUUCUCCAAAGUUGACUCCGAGUUUACUUUUGCAGAAGAUUCUCUGAGAGA
Molecule: long non-coding RNA, 148 nt
Organism: Etheostoma spectabile (orangethroat darter)
Lineage: Eukaryota; Metazoa; Chordata; Actinopteri; Perciformes; Percidae
Exons: 3
Source: RefSeq, a predicted model, not a curated record